This 263-nucleotide ribosomal RNA is filed under the name uncultured archaeon. RNAcentral describes it as "partial 16S ribosomal RNA". It matches the Rfam family "Archaeal small subunit ribosomal RNA", at positions 717 to 982 of the family's 1478-position model. The record is from RNAcentral.
AGACGUCUACAUUAGAUACCCCGUAGUCCCAGCCGUAAACUAUGCGCGUUAGGUGUAUCGGUGACCACGAGUCACCGAGGUGCCGAAGGGAAACCGUGAAACGUGCCGCCUGGGAAGUACGGUCGCAAGGCUGAAACUUAAAGGAAUUGGCGGGGAGCACCACAACGGGUGGAGCCUGCGGUUUAAUUGGACUCAACGCCGGGAAGCUCACCGGAUAAGACAGCGGAAUGAUUGCCGGGCUGAAGACUCUGCAUGACUAGCUG